AUAUCAUUAGGCGGAGGAAAAGAAACGAACAAGGAUUCCCCUAGUAACGGCGAGUGAAUGGGGAUGAGCCCAGCACUGAAUCCCUCGGCAUUGAUCGCUGUUGGGAAAUGUAGUGUGAAGGAGACUCGAUCCGGUACGGACAACCAUUCAAGUCCCCUUGACAGGGGCCACAGCCCACAGACGGUGCAGGCAGGUCGUA
This 199-nucleotide ribosomal RNA is filed under the name uncultured eukaryote. RNAcentral's name for it is "partial large subunit ribosomal RNA". It matches the Rfam family "Eukaryotic large subunit ribosomal RNA", at positions 40 to 228 of the family's 3401-position model. The record is from RNAcentral.